Molecule: long non-coding RNA, 775 nt
Organism: Capsicum annuum
Lineage: Eukaryota; Viridiplantae; Streptophyta; Magnoliopsida; Solanales; Solanaceae
Exons: 3
Source: RefSeq, a predicted model, not a curated record
GAAAAACAUUAUUAUAUAUAUAAAGGGCUUUUGCCAAGGAAAACACCAAAUAGAGUGAAAGGCAGUAAUUGAUUCUGCUUAGCCUCUCGUGAAACAGGAAAAGAGCAAUCAAUUAUUCGUCCAGUGAAAGACUACCAAACGGAGGGAUUUUGAUCGUAAAAUUUCUUCCGGACUUAAGAGAAUGCAGGUGACAGUGAGGAUCGCGUUGGCUAGAGGAUCCGAGUAGCAUAUUCCUGAGAACGCAGGUGAUGGUGAGGAUCACGUUGGCUGGAGGAUCCGAGUAGCAUAUUCCUGGUGAGCCCCACAAUUGUUCGCAUGGGCUAUAGUUUAUUUAUUCGUUAUGUUUCUUUUUGUUGAAAACUCUUAGUUUGCUCCAUAGUCAUGUCUUUAGAGUUUUGAAUCUUUCAUUAUUUUGGAUUUGUGGACUAUUGGAUUUCCUCUCAUGUUUUGGAGAUGGAUUUUAUGCUGUCAUUUGGUGGUGUUGGUGACUUUUUGAUCAUUUGUGGUGGAUUGUGUUGAUAUUGUUGAAGUGUUAGUUGUGGUGCUGUUGAUUUGAGACAGAGAAUUUUUCUUGAUAUGCCCAAAAACAAAGGAAAUUCUGCUCGAUUUUCUAUAGAAUUCUGACGAGGGUUGCUUUGGAGUCCUAAACUCCUUAGCGCCGGUCAUUAUCCUAUUUUGGGUCGUGACAUUGUAAUAGCAAAUUAUGCAAUAGACAAGUCAAAUUAACAAAAUUGUUAUCAUGUACUAGUUUUCAAUGAAGACCACUUCUGAUCUA